RNAcentral lists this long non-coding RNA (1432 nucleotides) under Oryctolagus cuniculus (rabbit). RNAcentral describes it as "lncRNA (ENSOCUG00000033139.1)". Lineage: Eukaryota; Metazoa; Chordata; Mammalia; Lagomorpha; Leporidae. The record is from RNAcentral.
UUGGGCGAGCCCCCCUUCAACUUGCUUUUUUCUGUUCUUCUCGCUUUCCUCCUCAAGGUGUUUGCCUCACUGCCCCCACCUUUGGAAAAUACAGUCCAACUCCUCCCUGGUUGGCGAUUAAUUUCCCUCCCCGCUCCUUUAUCUGCCUUGUUUCCCCCUUCCAACAGCUGGUUGCCUUCCUCCUUGUUUUAUUUCAUUUUAUUUUAUAUGAUUUCUCGCUCUUAAAAAAAAAGCUCCUCUAAGACACUGAUCCGCUGAAUUCCCGCCCCCCAAAAAGAUGCUCUAAUUUAUUUAUUUUUUGCGUCCUUUAUAACACAAGCCACAGCCCCCUUCUCCCCCCCUAGUCCCCCUCCCCUCCCUCCUUCUUCACAAAAUGAAAGGAAAGAGGGGGGAAAAAUCCCUCAGAAGAUGAGUAAACAAGCGUAUGCUAAUCUGCUCCCGAGCGCUCCACCUUCCCAAUUGAAUGAGUCCCUGUUAAAACUGCGCGGAUCAUGACUAAUCAAUCAGUUUGGAGAGGCCGAGCUGCCCAGCCUUCCUCCACUUUGCCGCUUGCCUCCUUGCCCGCGCUCCCGCCUCUCCACCCCCUCCUUUUUUUUUUUUUUUAAGAAGACAAUCUUAAAGUAACAAUUUAAUGAAAUUCUGUACACACCCCCUUACGGUCCUCCCAGCUCUCCUCAUUUCUGCUCAAAACACACAUUCCUGUUUUUUUGUUUUGUUUUGCUUGCUUUUUUUUCUCCCUUACUUCACCUCACGCAAACACACACCUCCUUAUAUAUAUUUAUUUUCCUCCUGACGGGAGAAAAAUCUCUCUUCUUUCAGUGUCCCCUUUGAACGUUGAUGAGACUGACUGGAAAGAGGAGGAUCUUGGAUGCACAAUGCCACGGAUGAGGAAUUUGCCUCAGGAAAUCUUUCACUGUCUGCAAAUCCAAGUUGCCUAUAAAAGUCUGCAGGUUUCCAUUCAAUAAAGAGAGAGCUAUGCUGAACCACUUAAAUGAUAUCAUUCAAGAUUCUCCCCUCCUUUCCCUCAAUGAAACUUGGUAUAUGACUACUGAUUCACUUCAAUUGUGACGAUUAGGCACUUGGAAAUUGUCUGUCUUUUGGGGAACUUUUAAGUGUUUGCAUGAAAUAGUUUUUAAAUACUUUAUUUGGAAAGGAGAGAGUGAGAAAGAGAGAGGGGGAGAGAGAGACCCAGAUAUCCCAUCUUCUGGUUUACUUCCUAAAUGCUCAAAACAGCUGAGUCUUAACCCAGGAGCAGGGAUCUCAAUCUGGGUUUCCCACAUGGAUGGGAGUGAACUAACUACUUAAGCUGUCACCUGCUGCUUCCCAGGGCACACAUCAGCAGGAGGCUGGAAUCAGGAGCAGAGUUGGGACUUGAACCCAGGCACUCCGAUAUGGACUCCCAAUCAGUGCCUUUACUUCUGCACCAAAUGGC